RNAcentral lists this ribosomal RNA (1407 nucleotides) under uncultured Rhizaria. RNAcentral describes it as "SSU rRNA". It matches the Rfam family "Eukaryotic small subunit ribosomal RNA", at positions 384 to 1804 of the family's 1831-position model. The record is from RNAcentral.
CGGAGAGGUAGCAUGAGAAACGGCUACCACUUCUAAGGAAGGCAGCAGGCGCGCAAAUUACCCAAUCCUGACUCAGGGAGGUAGUGACAAGAAAUAACAAUAAACCGGCUUAUGCCGGUUUAAUUGGAAUGAGUACAAUUUAAACAUCUUAACGAGGAACAAUUGGAGGGCAAGUCUGGUGCCAGCAGCCGCGGUAAUUCCAGCUCCAAUAGCGUAUACUAAAGUUGUUGCAGUUAAAAAGCUCGUAGUUGGAUUUCUGCGGGGACGGAGCGGCCGGACGCAACUUGCGUCUCGAGCUAGCGCUUUCCCCGCAUCCUGCCGCGAACCGUGCUACCAUUAGUUUGGUGGCGCUGGGGAUCGGCUCGAUUACUUUGAGAAAAAUAGAGUGUUCAAAGCAGGCCACACGCCUUGAAUAAGUUAGCAUGGAAUAAUGACUAAGGACUUUGGUUCUUUUCGUUGGUGUUCGGGACUGAAGUAAUGAUUGAUAGGGACAGUUGGGGCGGUCCGUAUUCCAAAGCGAGAGGUGAAAUUCUUAGACCUUCGGAAGACGAACAGCUGCGAGAGCGUUCCGCAAGGAUGUUCCCUUUGAUCAAGAACGAAAGUUGGGGGAUCGAAGACGAUCAGAUACCGUCGUAGUCUCAACUAUAAACUAUACCAGCUAGGGAUCGGCCAACGUUUAAUUAUUCGACUUGGUCGGCACCUUAUGAGAAAUCAAAGCAUCUGGGUUCCGGGGGGAGUAUGGUCGCAAGGCUGAAACUUAAAGGAAUUGACGGAAGGGCACCACCAGGCGUGGAGCCUGUGGCUUAAUUUGACUCAACACGGGAAAACUUACCAGGUCCAGACAUAGGAAGGAUUGACAGAUUGAUAGCUCUUUCUUGAUUCUGUGGGUGGUGGUGCAUGGCCGUUUUUAGUCGGUGAAGUGAUUUGUCUGCUUAAUUGCGUUAACGGACGAGACCCCAGCCUGCUAAAUAGCGCGGCCGAGCUUUGCUCGGUACGAGCUUCUUAGAGGGACCAUGAUGCGCGAUAGCACAAGGAAGUUUGGGGCAACAACAGGUCUGUGAUGCCCUUAGAUGUUCCGGGCCGCACACGGGCUACACUGGCGCCUGCAACGAGCAUAUCAGCUGGCCCGAGAGGGUCUUGGCUAAUCUUUGGAACCGGCGCCGUGCUUGGGAUUGACCAUUGCAAUUGUUGGUCAUGCAACGAGGAAUGCCUUGUAAACGCGAGUCAUCAGCUCGCAUUGAAUACGUCCCUGCCCUUUGUACACACCGCCCGUCGCUCCUACCGAUGAAUGUUCCGAUGAAAUUUUCGGAGAGCGCCGGAGAACGGGGCUCUGCCCUGCAGAACUGGAGGCUCAAAGUCACUUAAAUCUGAACAUUUCGAGGAAGGAGAAGUCGUAACAAGGUAACC